This 1725-nucleotide long non-coding RNA is filed under the name Sinocyclocheilus anshuiensis. RNAcentral's name for it is "lncRNA (ENSSANG00000024424.1)". Lineage: Eukaryota; Metazoa; Chordata; Actinopteri; Cypriniformes; Cyprinidae. The record is from RNAcentral.
AGGCUGAGGAGUUGAUUUAUGAUGUUUAUUUGUCCCUCAAGAAGAAACUAACAGAUUUGAGCUGGAGGGACGACAGAUCAUCAGCCUUUAUUUUGAAUAAGGUAUGUUGUGAAUCAUAUACAAAACCAUAUCCUACUGAAACUGUGUAUGGAUUAUUGUUCAGAUAAUUUUGUAUAUUUUUCAGAUAAAAUCUCUUAAUCCAAGACUCUCCGCUAAAACAAAUAACCUCAAUCAUGCAGAACUCAACCAUCUCUAUGCAGAGGUGGUUUUGAGCGAGGAGGAUUUUUUCUCCAACUACCUGCAGAUGCUGGUGCUGGAGCAGAAGAGCAGGAGCAGACUGCUCUCACACGGCACACAGACUGAAGGUUUGUCUGUCACUCCAUCCAUCUCUGGUAUUGACAUCAUCAUCCCUGUUGGAAUGUUUGUGUCACCCUUCUUCCAUUCCUCAUAUCCCAGGGCACUGAAUUAUGGCACACUGGGAUCUCUGAUGGCUAAAGAUCUACUCCACCUUCUGCUCCCUGAUAUCCACAUGCAGGCCAACAAUCCAGAGUCAGACAGCAUGUGCAUAUGGUCCCAUUAUCUGAGUGUGACCAGGGAUCCAGGACGGGUCGGCACAUUCUCUCUUCCCCCCUCUAAACAGCAGGAGGUUUGGGUGCAGUACUCUGCUCUACAAGUGGCACUGGAUGCUUAUAAAAUGAGUUUCACAAGGCAUCCAGCAGACUCAUCUCUAUCAGGCCUCUCUUACCUUCACCUGUUACUCUCCUCCUUUACAAAGGUACAGAGAAUGUCAAUGAGAAAUGUAUAAGCACUCAAGGAUGUGUGCUAAUCAAAAUGUUCAAAUCAUAUGUUACAGGUAACGUGUGACGCUGACUCCUACCAUGAGUUCAUGCCCUUUGAACCUUCCUUCCUGGUGACAGUCCUGUGUUCAAACUCCGGCUUCUGCCCCAAAACGCUGACCUGUGUGAAUAAAUCUCAGAGUUAUCCUCGUGAGAUGUGUCAGAGUCGAACGCUGCACUGAAUCUGGGAGGAACUCAUGUCUGCUGAGACCUUUUGGAGCUUGUUUGGGACUAUUGAACCAUUGGAGCUGCUCACUGUUUAGUAAAAGAAGGUCAUUCCAGAGAUCAUAAAGCUUUUUAUAUUCACUUGUUAAGUAAUGGGUUUAGAAAAGUCACAUAUACAUACAUUUAAGCAAUAUUAUCACAUUUGAUAAAUCAUGUACAGAAUGAUGAACAGUUAAAGCCUGCUUGGUGGAUGUGUUCUCUCACAGCACUUAGAAAAUUGACCAUGCUUUUACUAUAGUAUUGAAUUUUGGGGGAAAUGUUGAUUCAUACAAAAUAAUAUUUUUGGGAAGGGAGGGAAUCUCAUACAUUUUUUUUUUAACUACAACUAGCAUAGUUUGUUUACAGAGUUACACUGGUUUACAUGUGGUUACUGUAAAUACCACAGUUAAACUGGUUACUAUACAAGAUUUAUGGUAAAUUUGUACCAAGGAAGGAGAGCAUUUCACCAAGUAAAAGUGAUUCCAGUUGUAAUUCAUUAAUGAUGGAUAAUUGUGCUCUUUAUUCUCUCUAUUGUAAAUACAGUUUGAUGUCUAAAGUCUGAAUGUAUCAUGAAUGCCACUCUUAUUUUUGAAAUGUAUUAUAUUUGGAUGAAACAUUAAAAAAAAAGUAUUUUUUGCAUGUGUGCUUUUUGGUCUGUAGUCAAGGAAUUUCAUACAUAUAACAU